AAGUCGUAACAAGGUUUCCGUAGGUGAACCUGCGGAAGGAUCAUUAACAAAUUUUCCACAACCACACAUGUGAACCGUCACCUCAUUCUUGGUGAGCACCCGGCAAGCGCGACGCGUCAGCGCGUUGUGUUUGUUCCGGGACUCACCGCUAUUUUUAACACCUUUCAAAAACUUAUGCAUACUUUAAACAACAAAUUUAAAGACAACUUUUAGCAACGGAUCUCUUGGCUCUC
Molecule: unclassified non-coding RNA, 233 nt
Filed under: fungal sp.
Lineage: Eukaryota; Fungi
Description: partial internal transcribed spacer region
Rfam family: Eukaryotic small subunit ribosomal RNA (bases 1-46)
Source: RNAcentral